This 648-nucleotide ribosomal RNA is filed under the name Vibrio sp. RNAcentral describes it as "bacterial SSU rRNA". It matches the Rfam family "Bacterial small subunit ribosomal RNA", at positions 69 to 710 of the family's 1533-position model. The record is from RNAcentral. Lineage: Bacteria; Pseudomonadati; Pseudomonadota; Gammaproteobacteria; Vibrionales; Vibrionaceae.
GAACCUUCGGGGAACGUUAAGGGCGUCGAGCGGCGGACGGGUGAGUAAUGCCUAGGAAAUUGCCCUGAUGUGGGGGAUAACCAUUGGAAACGAUGGCUAAUACCGCAUGAUGCCUACGGGCCAAAGAGGGGGACCUUCGGGCCUCUCGCGUCAGGAUAUGCCUAGGUGGGAUUAGCUAGUUGGUGAGGUAAUGGCUCACCAAGGCGACGAUCCCUAGCUGGUCUGAGAGGAUGAUCAGCCACACUGGAACUGAGACACGGUCCAGACUCCUACGGGAGGCAGCAGUGGGGAAUAUUGCACAAUGGGCGCAAGCCUGAUGCAGCCAUGCCGCGUGUGUGAAGAAGGCCUUCGGGUUGUAAAGCACUUUCAGUCGUGAGGAAGGUGGUGUUGUUAAUAGCACUAUCAUUUGACGUUAGCGACAGAAGAAGCACCGGCUAACUCCGUGCCAGCAGCCGCGGUAAUACGGAGGGUGCGAGCGUUAAUCGGAAUUACUGGGCGUAAAGCGCAUGCAGGUGGUUUGUUAAGUCAGAUGUGAAAGCCCGGGGCUCAACCUCGGAAUAGCAUUUGAAACUGGCAGACUAGAGUACUGUAGAGGGGGGUAGAAUUUCAGGUGUAGCGGUGAAAUGCGUAGAGAUCUGAAGGAAUACC